UACGUAGGAGGCAAGCGUUAUCCGGAUUCACUGGGCGUAAAGCGCACGCAGGCGGUUAUGUAAGUCGGACGUGAAAGCUCCUGGCUCAACUGGGAGAGGUCGUUCGAUACUGCAUAGCUUGAGGUUGGGAGAGGGAAGCGGAAUUCCCGGUGUAGUGGUGGAAUGCGUAGAUAUCGGGAGGAACACCAGUGGCGAAAGCGGCUUCCUGGCCCAUACCUGACGCUCAGGUGCGAAAGCGUGGGGAGCGAACGGG
This 253-nucleotide ribosomal RNA is filed under the name uncultured bacterium. RNAcentral describes it as "partial 16S ribosomal RNA". It matches the Rfam family "Bacterial small subunit ribosomal RNA", at positions 524 to 776 of the family's 1533-position model. The record is from RNAcentral.